UACAGAGGGGGCAAGCGUUAUUCGGAAUUAUUGGGCGUAAAGAGCUUGUAGGCGGUUUGUCGCGUCUGCUGUGAAAAUCCGGGGCUCAACCCCGGACUUGCAGUGGGUACGGGCAGGCUAGAGUGUGGUAGGGGAGACUGGAAUUCCUGGUGUAGCGGUGAAAUGCGCAGAUAUCAGGAGGAACACCGAUGGCGAAGGCAGGUCUCUGGGCCACUACUGACGCUGAGAAGCGAAAGCAUGGGGAGCGAAAAGG
Molecule: ribosomal RNA, 253 nt
Filed under: uncultured bacterium
Lineage: Bacteria
Description: partial 16S ribosomal RNA
Rfam family: Bacterial small subunit ribosomal RNA
Source: RNAcentral